GAUGAACGCUGGCGGCGUGCUUAACACAUGCAAGUCGAACGAGAAUCAACGGAUUGAGGAUUCGUCCAAAUGAAGUUGAGGAAAGUGGCGGACGGGUGAGUAACGCGUGAGGAACCUGCCUCGGAGUGGGGAAUAACAGUUGGAAACGAUUGAUAAUACCUCAUGACAUGUUUUUGCCGCAUGACGAAAACAUCAAAGAUUUAUCGCUGAGAGAUGGGCUCGCGUCCGAUUAGGUAGAUGGUGAGGCAACGGCUCACCAUGCCGACGAUCGGUAGCCGGACUGAGAGGUCGAUCGGCCACAUUGGGACUGAGACACGGCCCAG
RNAcentral lists this ribosomal RNA (323 nucleotides) under uncultured bacterium. Its description in RNAcentral is "bacterial SSU rRNA". It matches the Rfam family "Bacterial small subunit ribosomal RNA", at positions 28 to 334 of the family's 1533-position model. The record is from RNAcentral.